AAGUCAGUGUGUAUCAUACAACACUUACAGGACAUCUUAAUUCAGAUUAGAUACAUUUCCAAUGCUCCAGCCAGCUUUAAGUCAUCAGGCAUAAAAUCUUUGUGUAUAGAUAAGGAUAAUAAGGCCUAGAUGAAUUCCUGUAGUCCCAGAGUUAAUCAGGUGCAGAAAAGUCAGGUUAGUGACCAGAAUUGAAGAGAAAAAUCACUUUCCAAGACUUGAGCCCUGGUGAAGUCUCAGCUGCCCUACUAUGUGAGUGAGGUAAGGCUUUGAGGCACUCUGCCUGUAAGGUUUCUCUCAGCAACUGGUCACAUAGAAACCUAACUAACCAGAACCCGUUGAACUGCAUUCCACCUCCCAAACCAUGAAGGCCAGAACAGCUGUUUAGGCAUGUUAAAUGGUAUUUAUUUAUUUACUUUUGCAAAGUUGCAUGAAACAAAGAAAAAGCCAAAAAAAGAUCAAAUGUCUGUGGGACAUAGGAACCUGGAAAUUCCCACUCCUCAUAUCUUCCCUCUGUUUAAACACAGAUGGACUAUGGAAAGCAUUUUAUCAGAAUGUGAUUCAGUUUGGCAAGAAGGUUGAGCUCUUAUGGACUUCGGAAAGUGUGUUGUGUUAGAAAUGUUCCCCAACUUCAUUACAAAUAUUCUGGGCUUUUAUAGGUUUAUUACACUGUACUGUUGACUGCUGGAAACCCAGAAUGGUUUCUGUAUUUUACCCUAAACUCAUUCAGACUUUUCAAGUUGUCAGAGCCGUAACUGAUCUAAAAAUGCACGUAAUAAGUAGAAGUCUAAACUAGACAUUUCUUUUCUCUAAUACUGUUACUAUAUUACUAGAGUCCAAAGGAUUAAAAAUUUAGAGCUAAUGAGGACCUUAAAAAGUCACCUAACAAUGGUUUUUGAACUUUUUUCUUAGGGUAAUGGUACAAAUUUUCAGAUGUGAUCAUACUUGGAACUCACGUAUAAAACAGAUAAUGAAAGAGCUGCUGUGAGUUAAGCAGGGUUGGAGCUGGGGACUGGAGCCACAGCCUGAAGGUCUCUUACUGCUUGAUUCUGGCAGCUAUCCAGGCAGCUCUGUGGAACCUGGGUGUCUGAUUAACACAGAUGAAAACCGCUGACUUAGAUUUAGUCCAACCCCCUUCCUUCAUUUUUUUCUCCUUGCCAGGCUGACGAUAGCCAGAGACUUUACAAUUCUAAAGUAUUUGAGCUUAUGAAAAAUUGUCCAAGCAUGAGUACUAUGGUGAUAGAAGAGUUAGUGGAGAAAACGCAAUGAGAAAGAACCAAAGUAGGUCAGAAUUAUAGCUGAGGAUGGGCGUAGAACAAGUUCAAGCUUGGCUGGCUAGGAGAUUGAUGGACACACACACACAUACACACGCACACACAGACACACAUACAAUCAGACAAGGCAUUCAGUUUGACAGGAAGAUGAGUUAAAUUUUAGCAAAUGAAUAUGAGGUGACAGCCAUGCAAUCACAUGGCAUCAUUUAUUAGCACUAGUUUGUCUUAAAACUUGAACACAGAGAGUCAGGGCCAGCCAAAUGGAAAUUGUCUGCUCAUAGGAGAAGCCCCGGGGCCAUACUCUGAAAGAGGUAGCUUGGCGACAGACAAAUUUUCUAAGAGAGACAGUAUGGGGAGAAGAAAAGGCAAAGGUCCAAGACUCAAAAAAUGAAUGAAUGUUAAAACAUCAGAAGAGCAAGAUAAACGAGUUAAGAAGAUGGCACAGGAGCCGCAGAGAGGUGGAAGAUGGCUUGGAAGAGUGAAAACAGUUUUGCUGAGGACAGAAGAGAUGAGGUGGGGAUGGUCCAUGAAGAUGAAUGACUGCUUCCUAAGACACUGUGGCGAGGAGGCUGUGGAAAGAUGGCAGCAGCAGACUGUGGAGAGAAGUCAAUUCACUGGCAGCUUGGCACUUCCCCAGGUAAUCCAUUCUCAGAGUUUCUGUUCAAUCAAAAACUGUAGCUUCUUUGGUUUAGGAGUUUCCUGAGCCUGUCUCAGGGCAAUAACGCCUUCUGGGUUAACUGGAGACUUCGUCAGAGACAGAUGGGAGCUAACUCCAAAGAGUCAUCAUGAUAACUGCGGUUGUUCAGAUUCUUUAUUUCUGGGCAUCACAUAGAAUUUAGAUUGGGACUCCUUUUCUAUCUAACUGAGGGAUGGGAAUCAUAAUUGCAUAUUUAAUUUUGUCAUUAGAAAUGAUAAUAAACUCAUUGCCAUUAUACCACAUGGUUUAAAAAUAAUCUGUUAGAGCAUUUGUUUCUUGUUGUUCAAUGUAACCAACCUUAUUAAAGACCUUGUAUCAACA
Molecule: long non-coding RNA, 2289 nt
Filed under: Homo sapiens (human)
Lineage: Eukaryota; Metazoa; Chordata; Mammalia; Primates; Hominidae
Description: HSALNT0342842
Source: RNAcentral